RNAcentral lists this ribosomal RNA (468 nucleotides) under uncultured bacterium. Its description in RNAcentral is "partial 16S ribosomal RNA". It matches the Rfam family "Bacterial small subunit ribosomal RNA", at positions 28 to 507 of the family's 1533-position model. The record is from RNAcentral.
GACGAACGCUGGCGGCGUGCUUAACACAUGCAAGUCGAACGGAAAGGCCCUGCUUUUGUGGGGUGCUCGAGUGGCGAACGGGUGAGUAACACGUGAGUAACCUGCCCUUGACUUUGGGAUAACUUCAGGAAACUGGGGCUAAUACCGGAUAGGAGCUCCUGCUGCAUGGUGGGGGUUGGAAAGUUUCGGCGGUUGGGGAUGGACUCGCGGCUUAUCAGCUUGUUGGUGGGGUAGUGGCUUACCAAGGCUUUGACGGGUAGGCGGCCUGAGAGGGUGACCGGCCACAUUGGGACUGAGAUACGGCCCAGACUCCUACGGGAGACAGCAGUGGGGAGUAUUGCACAAUGGGCGGAAGCCUGAUGCAGCAACGCCGCGUGCGGGAUGACGGCCUUCGGGUUGUAAACCGCUUUCGCCUGUGACGAAGCGUGAGUGACGGUAAUGGGUAAAGAAGCACCGGCUAACUACGUG